CCCCGAGACCCGUCACCAGGAUCGCGGGCGCUGUGCCUGGCAGGCUCUUAGGGCUCGGGGCUGCCUCUCGGCUCCCAGCGACAACCGGGGAAAAGCAGGAUGGCGGAAGGAAGGAAGGAGGAAAGCCGGCCGCCAUUAGCCAGAGAGCAGUAUUGAACGGCCCGGCGGCUUCAGCCUUGGCUCCAACCCGACCCAGCCCUCGGCUCGGCUCAAAAACCUGAAAAUAAAACUCGUGUUUGGGAGGGAGGAGCGAGCGCGGCCCGGAGGACAAGCAGCGCCAGGCUGCAGGCGGGAGAGAGAUGCUGCGUCAUGAUGCCAACAUGGACGCCGGCCUUUUGUCCUUUUUCUCUUUGGAAGAGCAGGCGAGCCCCGGAGCCCCGAAAAGCUGGCUUCCGGGGGGCAGAAACCCCCACAAUCAAUCGGGAACGAGACUUUAGGAUGGGUGGGAAGGUUUCCUCGCUUUUUUCAGCCCCUCCAUCUCCAAAACACUUCGAUUUCUUCUUUGCCACUAAGGUGCAGACCUGAGGCGAGCCAAAGGGAAUAGCGCAAGCGGCUCCAUGGAUGCCCCAGGGUACUGGGGACUGGCUCUCUUCGCCUUUGGGUGCAAAAGAGGCAGAGGGGUCUGGAGAGCCCUAGUCCCCUCACCCACCCACUGCAAUCGGCUGCCAAGCUCAAGAAACCCCAGCUCCCAAUCAUCUGCAGCCCAUGGCCUGCUCAAUCGAGAGUUCCUCGAAGGGGGAAAAAGGCACUUGAAAAAAAAUUUUUAGUCUAGUUUUUUACUUACCCACUCAGCCCGGCGCCAUGGAGUCUAGAAGAAAAAGCUGGCCGGUGUUUGUGGAGAUAUUAUAAAAAUAACAGGUCUUUUUUUUGGGGGGGGGAUGUUUGGUUGUUUAGUUGGGGGGAAAUCUGGGGUUCUGGUAUCCCUUUGUUGUUACCUUCUUUGUAAGUUACACUCGUGGUAUUUCUGCUCCUUCCACGACUGCAAACUUUCCAGGGUUUGGCUGGCAUAAAGGCGGCUUCGCUGAGGGCUGUUUAGUGCUCUGGAUUUACCAAUGGUGUGAUCGUCAUUAAGAAACAAAAGGCAAAAACACAAGUCAAAUCAAAACAAAAGGCAAAACCAGCCAUCCCAACCGCCACAGAAAAUACCACCGACUCAACGUAGGUGUUUGGCUUGAACCGGCUAAGGACUUGUUUUCCAGUUUUAAUCUAGUUUUCAGUGGCGGCAUUCAGUCUUUUUUUAUACAAAAGGUCUUCCUUUCUCUCACCCUCCACCACCCCACACCCAGCUCGAGAAAAACAGCUGUUUUUCUUCAAAUAGAUCGAUUUUCAAAGAGUGUACGAGCUACUGGGAAGAAAUCUGAAUAGCAACUAUGGCUGUAAACAUUUUUUUUUUCCAAAAAGCUCGAAGCUAAAAAAUCGUAGCUUUAUAGAAGCAAAAACGUCUAAAAGCAUUUUAACUGACUUACAUCAGACAAAGACAAAGACAUACAUGCAGAUGAAGCUUCCGAAAAUUCAGGACAUUUCAGGCGACAGUAACACGAGAACGGCAGUGCAGUUAAGGACAGAAUGGAUUGGGUACUUACAAUGUAAAAGGUUUUUAGAAAAUUUAACAGUAACAACAGCUCACAGUUUUUUUUGUUAUUGUUGCCGUUUUGCUACAACUAUACAUUUAAAACAUUACCUUGUUAAAAAAUAGAAUUAAUAAGAUGGUCAGGCUUAAGUGUUUAAUAGAGGAAACUAUAUUUAAAAAUUUAUUGUUCAGUCAAGAGAAUACAGAUUAAGACAGCUCCAAGCUCUCCCACCCACCCACCCGAGAAAAAAAAAAAGGAAAAAAUUAAAUAUGUCAUUUACUUAGGUUUUUUUGAAUUCAAAACUGUUAACUGCUGACAUUAAUAGUGUGCUAUGACCUAGUUAUACAAGACAAAGAUGGAUUCCAAGUCAUAAGGAAAAAUCCAGAUCUUUUUAAAAGGUCUUCUUCAUUCUUCCAAGUGUGAGUCCUUUGGCAAAUGUUAAACACAUUCAGGCGUCCUGAACUGGAUGGUGGAGUCAAAGGAAAAGCAUUCCCCAUUUGCAACAAAGGAAAAACCCACUUGGCCAUUUAAUUCCAUUGCAGAAAAAUGGCUCCCUCAUCUGUUGGCCUCUCCUUGGAGUCUGAUGAAGGAUGUUUUGAGAUCAGCGUCUAAUAACUCAAGCCCUAUAGAAGCCGCGCGCUGAUUGGCUGCCGCACCCUGCCGCCCUGCUCCAGCCAAUUACCUACCCACGGCCAAAUUACAAACCCCGAAAAGAGCCCCAAUAUGAAAUACACCACCACGAAGCCCCUGCGAGGAGGCUGCUUCGCCUCGGCAGCCCGAGAAGAGAGACCAAGGGGGUCUGCAACCAGAUCCACGCGAAAAGCCGGGGAAGCCUCCGAGUUGAACUCACAAAAUGGAAGCCGAGCGCUGAUUGGCCGCCGCCACUCCCGGACCUUUAAUAAAGAAAGGGGAAGGAAAAUGAUAAAUGCAAAAAAGGGGACUCUGUCGCUGGUGGCUGGAGGAAGGAGGGAGGAAGAAGCAUGUGUUCAAGACAAUUACUGGGCGCUCCCCUCCAAAAAUAAAAACAGAAAGGCAAAAAAUAAAAAAGAAAAAGAAA
Molecule: long non-coding RNA, 2628 nt
Filed under: Mus caroli (Ryukyu mouse)
Lineage: Eukaryota; Metazoa; Chordata; Mammalia; Rodentia; Muridae
Description: lncRNA (MGP_CAROLIEiJ_G0006191.1)
Source: RNAcentral